GGGAAUCUGCCCUUCGGUUGGGAAUAACUGAGAGAAAUUUCAGCUAAUACCUUAUAAUGUCUUCGGACCAAAGAUUUAUCGCCGAGGGAUGAGCCCGCGUAGGAUUAGCUAGUUGGUGGGGUAAUGGCCUACCGAGGCGACGAUCCUUAGCUGGUCUGAGAGGAUGAUCAGCCACACUGGGACUGAGACACGGCCCAGACUCCUACGGGAGGCAGCAGUGGGGAAUAUUGGACAAUGGGCGAAAGCCUGAUCCAGCAAUGCCGCGUGAGUGAUGAAGGCCUUAGGGUUGUAAAGCUCUUUUACCAGGGAUGAUAAUGACAGUACCUGGAGAAUAAGCUCCGGCUAACUCCGUGCCAGCAGCCGCGGUAAUACGGAGGGAGCUAGCGUUGUUCGGAAUUACUGGGCGUAAAGCGCGCGUAGGCGGCUGUUCAAGUCAGAGGUGAAAGCCCGGGGCUCAACCCCGGAACUGCCUUUGAAACUAGAUAGCUAGAAUCAUGGAGAGGUCAGUGGAAUUCCGAGU
RNAcentral lists this ribosomal RNA (520 nucleotides) under uncultured bacterium. RNAcentral describes it as "bacterial SSU rRNA". It matches the Rfam family "Bacterial small subunit ribosomal RNA", at positions 120 to 674 of the family's 1533-position model. The record is from RNAcentral.